Long non-coding RNA from Arabidopsis lyrata subsp. lyrata, 390 nucleotides. RefSeq lists it as uncharacterized. The transcript is spliced from 2 exons. The record is from RefSeq and is a predicted model, not a curated record. Lineage: Eukaryota; Viridiplantae; Streptophyta; Magnoliopsida; Brassicales; Brassicaceae.
GAAAAUAUUCAGUACGAGAUAAACAACAAAAAUUCAGAAAACAAAUAUAGACAAUCAUUUACCAAAUUUUUGCAUCAUGAAAUCUGUUACUUUCUUUGUGGUUUCUUGUGUUCUCAUGUUUUUCGUGAUGCAUUAUGCUAAAGUGGAGGCAGCAGAGCGUGCGCCUGUACUUGUUGAAUUCAUUCCGGGGUAUCCAUGUGAUGUUGAUAUUUUUCGGUCGGCUGGACAAUGCAGAAUCGAAAUUCGAGAUGAUUACUAUCCUCAUUGCGAUUGUAGAGAUGCAGUAGGUGGACAUCAGUGUACAUGUGUGCAUUGAUAAUUUCUCUUUAUAUGAUUUACUGAAUCUUCAGAACUAAUAUAUAUAUAUAUUUAAUAAAAAUUAAUUAAUCU